RNAcentral lists this ribosomal RNA (460 nucleotides) under uncultured bacterium. Its description in RNAcentral is "partial 16S ribosomal RNA". It matches the Rfam family "Bacterial small subunit ribosomal RNA", at positions 338 to 795 of the family's 1533-position model. The record is from RNAcentral.
CCUACGGGUGGCAGCAGUGAGGAAUAUUGGUCAAUGGACGAGAGUCUGAACCAGCCAAGUAGCGUGAAGGAUGACUGCCCUCUGGUUUGUAAACUUCUUUUAUAUGGGAAUAAAAUGUUCCACGUGUGGGAUUUUGUAUGUACCAUAUGAAUAAGGCACGGCGAACUCCGUGCCAGCAGCCGCGGUAAUACGGAGGAUCCGAGCGUUAUCCGGAUUUAUUGGGUUUAAAGGGAGCGUAGGUGGAUUGUUAAGUCAGUUGUGAAAGUUUGCGGCUCAACCGUAAAAUUGCAGUUGAAACUGGCAGUCUUGAGUACAGUAGAGGUGGGCGGAAUUCGUGGUGUAGCGGUGAAAUGCUUAGAUAUCACGAAGAACUCCGAUUGCGAAGGCAGUUCACUGGACUGCAACUGACACUGAGGCUCGAAAGUGUGGGUAUCAAACAGGAUUAGAUACCCCAGUAGUC